ACAGCGUUUCAAAGUUUUCGUA
RNAcentral lists this microRNA (22 nucleotides) under Apis mellifera (honey bee). RNAcentral's name for it is "ame-miR-3723-5p". The record is from miRBase by way of RNAcentral. Lineage: Eukaryota; Metazoa; Arthropoda; Insecta; Hymenoptera; Apidae.